This 857-nucleotide non-coding RNA is filed under the name Pan troglodytes (chimpanzee). The record is from RNAcentral. Lineage: Eukaryota; Metazoa; Chordata; Mammalia; Primates; Hominidae.
GACUCUGCCUUUGCUUGCAGUUCUCUGGCUUGAUUGAGGAGGUUCUCACUUUCAUCUUUAUGGGACUUUGGCUAAAAAAAAUAAACUGUCAAAGGAACUGGCAUUUGCUGACUGGACUACAGCACAUCUCGAAGAAUCUGCAGACUGAAACCUUCAAGGCAUUCAUGAAAUGGUCUUUCCUUAGUUCCCCUGCCCUUUCCACUCUUUCUGCCAUUUGGAUUUCACACUGGAAGUUCAAGAGAUGACAUCAGAAAACAGAAAAGCCAGUGGGAAAGGCAAGGAGAUUUGGAAGAGUGUUUGAAAAUUUUGGCAAUCAAGAAUAAGAAGGUCAGUAAAUUUCAGUACAGGACCACAUAAGUCUAAAAUACUGUGACUGACUACUUCCUGAAAAUCACCUUGUAACACAGGCUUUCUUGGUUUUUAAUCCAACCACAGACCUACGAUUUUGCUUAAAGAUCGUGCAACUGUGUAGACGGAUGUUCCUGCAAACCCAAAGCAGGAAGCCAAGUCACCAGGCAGAACUGAUAGCAUGGGAAGUGGGUUCCCACCAGUCGCAUGCAGCUGCUCUGGUAUGGCCAUGGUGCUGGGGAUGAGUCAGAAAUCUCAGUCUUUUCUGGCUUAAAGAAAAGGAAGAAUGGAACCCAUCUUCUCCAGAUAUGUUGUUAUGGGGUAAGUGUAGGUCUAGAGACAGAAAAGAAUCACAUUUGAACAUCCUCUUAAUGCAAGAACAUUUUUAAAGAAUCAAUUUCCCCUGAAUAUCCAUCAAGCCUAAUACAGUGUGACUAUCUGAGAUCAAUUAUUUUAUCUUUACAAAGACUGGGAGUUAUACAGCAAAAGCAAUACUGUAAAAUAUGUGU